UGUGUGUGUAGCAUAAAAAAGCCCUACAAACAAACACAAUGUUGUAUAAUUCUGUGACUCAUACAAGCUGCCCCAACUGACUUAUCCUUUGAGAAUGACCCUAAGCAGUCAGUGUACAGCAAAACGGUCUUAAGGACAAGCAUUCUAUGGAGGAACACUUAGCUUCGAUUUCGGGCAGCGCUUUGCAUUGUUGUGGACUGCAGGGAGUGGAACGUGAGGAAUUUCACAAUCGCGUACCUGAGGUUCCAGCUCAGCUCCGUCUCGGAGUGUGUAAAGAGUUUUUUAUUUGCCUCGCUCAGCCGCUCCCUCUACUUAAACACAGACUCAGUCCUCUCAAGGCCAAGGCAAGACAGCCAAGCCCCAGGUCAACCCAACACAGCGGGAGGGAGAGGACAGUCUUAGAGAUGCGCAAAUACGUGCUGUUUUCAAUUCGAACAGAGAUUGAGGGGGCAAAGGGGGCUGGUGAGCAUUAAGAGUAAUUCAUAAACCCUAGAAUGCUGAAAAAAGCAUGUUAUCAAUAGCGUUUUCAUAUUGACUUAACACAUUCCACUCAGUGCCAUAAAAAAUGCCAUUGUGAAGGCUGAGAAAACUGAUUUAGUUGUCAUCAGCCAAUAUAUAAUACUAAUACGAUAAUGACUAGUGGUAGCGUGGUUCAACCUUUUGUUUUCAAUACUGUAUGUGGUUCCAUAUUUAUUUGUAAUAUUUAACACUCUAAAAACCCCUGGAAAACAGAUUUCAAAGACACCAGAAAUGUAAAAUGGUAAUGGACAGCGGAUGAAAAUAACAUUGCAGUUAUAAGGGAAAGUUGAGGAAACAAAUAAGUGAGCACAUGAGAGUAAACCAUCUGCUGCAGCAUGCUUUGUUCAAUUGCCAUUUGACCUGAGGACACAGAUAGUAUCUAUUUAAUGAACUUGGGGUGCUUGUGGCCUGUGCCAUAUUACCUGGAGCAACAGUAAUUUCUCUGGAAAUGUAGUCAACGUUCAACACGGCUGACCACAGUAACCACUGAAAAGUGUUAGCGUCGUACAAUUCCCCAUGGCACCAUAAGAAGUGCUGCCUUUCUACCUAAGUGUUUAGAGACAUUCCACAAGAACAGCGAUUUCAAAACAUUCCCACACUCAGUAGUCUGCUGGACAGGUUCUAGGAUGUUGCUCACCGAACAACAUCACAGCCAAUAUUUUUCAUAUUGAUUGAAAAAUUAAUUUUUAACUACAUGUGUCUGCACGCUUCAGCUUCUGAGGUGAUAGAUAAGGAUAAGUGGUGUAACGUCAUCAAAGAUCAGGAGUGGAGCAAAAUGAUCCCAAAGAUUACUGCUGCUGAAGAAAAGAGAGAGAGAGAGAGAGAGAGAGAGAGAGAGAGAGACUGCAGCAGUUCCUCAUCACAGCCUUGGAUAAUGACCUCAUUCUAGCCGCAAGAGUUUUGCGAUCGAGGGCAGCAUGAUUGUAAAGGAAAGAUGAAGAGAAGAGAAGAGGAAAAGGUGUGAAAAUAAACCAAAGGCUUUGAGGUUUUUCCAACUUGACCACCAUGAAGUCACAUCGGCGGCCUGCGUCGCUCCAGCAUAAAUGACAGGAGGGUGCAUAAAACCUCACCAACUUGCUACAUUAGAACUGAAGGCCCGGCGCAGACUAAUACUCACCACUCACAAAUGUGUUGAAUUUUUCUCCACUCCAGUGCUAUUGAAAUAUAUACGUCUUUAGUGGAGAGUUUCUCAGCUUUUGUAUUUCACGCUGCCCUCAGCAUUUGUAAUUACAAUAAACAAGAAUAUGACAUGC
Cyprinus carpio (common carp) is the source of this 1772-nucleotide long non-coding RNA. RefSeq lists it as uncharacterized. The record is from RefSeq and is a predicted model, not a curated record. NCBI's taxonomy places the organism in Eukaryota, Metazoa, Chordata, Actinopteri, Cypriniformes, Cyprinidae.